CGGCGGACGGGUGAGUAACACGUGGAUAACCUACCUAUAAGACUGGGAUAACUUCGGGAAACCGGAGCUAAUACCGGAUAAUAUAUUGAACCGCAUGGUUCAAUAGUGAAAGACGGUUUUGCUGUCACUUAUAGAUGGAUCCGCGCCGCAUUAGCUAGUUGGUAAGGUAACGGCUUACCAAGGCAACGAUGCGUAGCCGACCUGAGAGGGUGAUCGGCACACUGGAACUGAGACACGGUCCAGACUCCUACGGGAGGCAGCAGGG
Molecule: ribosomal RNA, 265 nt
Filed under: uncultured Staphylococcus sp.
Lineage: Bacteria; Bacillati; Bacillota; Bacilli; Caryophanales; Staphylococcaceae
Description: partial 16S ribosomal RNA
Rfam family: Bacterial small subunit ribosomal RNA
Source: RNAcentral